AAAAGUCUGUGGACUGUGGUGCAGCGGCCAGCGGGCAGCGAGUGACCGGCGAUGGAUCGUCCGUCAACGUCAAGUGAUACUCUCCAAUAUUCGGGGAAUUUUUCCACAUUUUUGGGACGUUUUUGUGAAAAAAGAUGAGCUUUCACUUUAGGGCCAUUUCCGAUCGAGCCGUUUCAGGACAUCCAUAAAGACAGUUGAUACAACUCAUUUUAUUAUUAUUAUUAUUAGAUCGUUCAAGUCAUUCGAUUACUGAAUAAGACAGAAAAAAGUCAUUGAAUUGAUUACAGACGCUAAAUCCAAAUAGAAAAUUAAUAAAUCGGUAAACGAGAGAGAGAGAGAGAGAGAGAGAGAGAGAGAGAGAGAGAGAGAGAGAGAGAGAGAGAGAGAGAAAUAUCCCUCAAGAAAGUGAAAUCUGGUAUAAGCGGUCUAUUAUUGCAAAUUCAUUGCUUUGAAAGAAUCAGUCCCCCUUUAAUAACCAUUUGCAACACUAAAACAAGGGUGUUGGUAUAGUAUCUUGUUUUGUAGUCAAUAAGUAAAUCGAGAAACCAAUAAGUAAACCGAUGACACACUUUUGAGAUUCAUAAUUGUUACAUCAACGCGGUAUAUCUGAGGUAGCUUUUGUUUUAUAGGUCAAUCUAAUCUGUGAUUAACGAGUAUUUAAGAGAAUUUCAAAACGAACUAGAGAUGUGAAAUAUUAUUAUAUAAUAAACUUGUAUUUAGCUGAAAGAGGUAAAUUUUUUCCUUGCGUCGAGUAAGUGUCUUAUCAAUAUGACGCAAAGACGACAUUUUCAAUGAUAAAACUCGUAAACGUUUGAAGAAAAAAAAGUCUUUGUUUGAAGAAAAAAGUUAUUGUCUGAUGAAUGCAGCUGAUAUUUGAUGAAAUCGGUAUAAAUGUUUGAUGAAAUCGGCUAAUGUUUGAAGACAUCUGUUUUAGCGUUUAAAUUGAUUUUAUGGAGACGAAUGCUUUUGUAUCAAGUCAGCUUUAUGGAUGUACGAAACGACUUCAGUUUGAACCAUAACGACUGAGGAGGAGGAGGAGGAGGAGGAGGAGGAGGAAGAACCACCUGGAACCACCUGGAGCCUAAAUACGUCAGCUGACGUCGAGGUUAAAUGCAGUUCAACAUUCAUGGCAUGAGUCGACGAAUGAACUUGGUAGAGCUGAGCAGGACCUGUCUCGACAGAGGAGCAGAGGGGAUGUCUGUCCUCUUGUGGGCUGGAAGGGAUUUUUAAUCACUGUGCCCUGGUAUCCCUUUUUUCAUUCAGGAAAGGAACUGGCUUGUAAACAAGAGUAAUGUAUGCUGACAGAUGUCCAACAAGAGGAGUUGCAAAAUAAAAUAGGUAAGCAUAGGGACGUAUCUAAAUUUGUUUCAGGUAUUCGGGUUUUAAGAAAUUGGA
Molecule: long non-coding RNA, 1395 nt
Organism: Macrobrachium nipponense
Lineage: Eukaryota; Metazoa; Arthropoda; Malacostraca; Decapoda; Palaemonidae
Exons: 3
Source: RefSeq, a predicted model, not a curated record